Molecule: long non-coding RNA, 1491 nt
Organism: Varroa destructor (honeybee mite)
Lineage: Eukaryota; Metazoa; Arthropoda; Arachnida; Mesostigmata; Varroidae
Source: RefSeq, a predicted model, not a curated record
CAUGUCAUCUUUUACGCAUUAUGAAGGACAGGCUUAAGAUUGUCGCAGCGAAAACUUUCGCUGAAUAUGGAAAAACAACAAAGCCAGUAUUCUUCUAUGUGUAUAACGGUUUUAUAUAUAAUACUGCAAUGGCUCUGAGUUACAAGUUCAUUGCACUUAUUCGUAGUUACGUUUAAUGGUAACUAGCGGAUGCACGUUACUCUCUAGUGUGUGAUUUCCUCUGUUCUAAGAGGUCGCGCUGCGGGAAAAAAAACCCACUAAGGCCCUUUCUGCUCAGAUGCUAAACUUCUGCACAGGUUCUUGUACAACGCUUAUAACUAUGUUCGAAUUUGUGGCAACAUGCCGUUUGCGAAGCAGAGCAACUUCAAGUACGGAAACCAAUCCACAUAGCCAAGAGACGUUCUAGCGAAGUGCAAGUGACAGUUCCCUCUCUCCUGUCUUCAUUUCUAAACUUCGCCGCCUCCGUUUUCGUCGGCUUUACGGUACGUUCCAAAUUUGUGACUGUUGCGUGGAGCAGAGCCAGAGUUUGCUGCACUUGGAAUUUGUUCGGCCGAUAGGUCAUCUGCAUAGAAGACUUCCUCGGCCCUGUUAUUUGAUCAGGGAGACCCUUCGUCAGGGCGAAAAAAGAGUGAGCUCAGGUUGUGCCCCCGAGCCAGACCAAAUAUUUGUUUGAAAAGCGAAAGUUUGGCUACUUCGUCGUCGAUGUUGAGUUUGGUGUCCUAUAGAGUGCACGACAAAAAAGAAUUGUACGUAUUCAUAGGAACACCCAAUUCGAUCAGCGUGAACAUGACCUUGUUCCCGGGCGCCAGGUCCAAGGCUACGUUGGAAUCGACAGCCACCGUACACGCUGGAUUGUGCGGCGUGGCCAGUGCUGUCCACACAAGGAUCCUGCACGCCGUUUCUGUGAGCGUUCUUUCUGGAACUCGUGUUGUUCCUUUGGGAUGGCGUGUACAUUUGUAUAAGCGGACCCGGCUGCCAAAGGUUUAGUGAUGCGACGUUCAGUGGCAGAGUGAAACGCACGUCUGACAACGAGCUGAAGAGACGAACAAUAACUGAGAAGGCUGUUGGCGGUAAUAAAAAACACCUUACCAAUGCAAGAGGCCAGCGUACCAUCGUUGAUAACAAAUCGCACCCACGAGCGGCUCCGCCCUACGUCAGUUAUCACUUGAUCAAGAGCGUUUAUUGUUUCAAGGCCUUCACGAUGGGUUACGGUGCGAACUAGACUCCAGAAAUCCGGACGGGGCAGGUGGUAUGUGAAAUUCGAUGCUGAAUUCGAUUAGCUCCAUAAAAUUCAAUAAAACUGGUGUCUUGGUAUCAAGAUGAACACAUGAAAUCUUAUGUCAAAAAUGGUACCCUCGCUCAUAAAUUUAUUAAUUUCAGGCGUUUUCUUGCAAUACUGUUUCAUAGUGUCAUUGGAGUAUCUGAAAUCUUGUUUGUAUACAAACUAUUUACUCAGCUGUUUAACCUAUAUGUUAGACACUUAGUACAAGG